Molecule: ribosomal RNA, 425 nt
Filed under: uncultured bacterium
Lineage: Bacteria
Description: partial 16S ribosomal RNA
Rfam family: Bacterial small subunit ribosomal RNA
Source: RNAcentral
GAAUAUUGGACAAUGGGCGAAAGCCUGAUCCAGCCAUGCCGCGUGUGUGAAGAAGGUCUUCGGAUUGUAAAGCACUUUAAGCUGGGAGGAAGGGGUUGAAGCUAAUACCUUCAAUCUUGGACGUUACCAACAGAAUAAGCACCGGCUAACGUAGGUCCAGCAGCCGCGGUAAUACGAAGGGUGCAAGCGUUAAUCGGAAUUACUGGGCGUAAAGCGCGCUUAGGUGGUUCAGUAAGAUGGAAGUGAAAUCCCCGGGCUUAACCUGGGAACUGCUUUCAUAACUGCUGAGCUAGAGUACGGUAGAGGGUAGUGGAAUUUCCUGUGUAGCGGUGAAAUGCGUAGAUAUAGGAAGGAACACCAGUGGCGAAGGCGACUACCUGGACUGAUACUGACACUGAGGUGCGAAAGCGUGGGGAGCAAACAGG